RNAcentral lists this long non-coding RNA (277 nucleotides) under Bos taurus (domestic cattle). Its description in RNAcentral is "long non-coding RNA NONBTAT025763". Lineage: Eukaryota; Metazoa; Chordata; Mammalia; Artiodactyla; Bovidae. The record is from RNAcentral.
ACUGUUAGUACUUCUGUAAUUUUUUUAAUAGUUUUAUUUUGUGAGUAAAUGGCAAUAGAUUAAAAAUAAUAUUUACCCAAAGGGAUGGCAGUUGACUCUUGUUUUUAUUUAUUAACAGGUCAAAUCAGGUUACAGUAAAUACCAGACAGUUAUAUUUGAUUCUGUUGAGGACAGAUCUCCAAUAAAAUAGCCAUUCAUUUUUAAGAGCUCUUGUAUAUCUUAAUGAAAGAUUUUUUAAAGAAUUACCUGGUUUUCCACUUCUUUAUAAAGUAUUCAU